RNAcentral lists this ribosomal RNA (466 nucleotides) under uncultured bacterium. RNAcentral's name for it is "partial 16S ribosomal RNA". It matches the Rfam family "Bacterial small subunit ribosomal RNA", at positions 28 to 507 of the family's 1533-position model. The record is from RNAcentral.
GAUGAACGCUGGCGGCGUGCUUAACACAUGCGAGUCGGACGAUGAAGCCCAGCUUGCUGGGUGGAUUAGUGGCGAACGGGUGAGUAACACGUGAGUAACCUGCCCUUAACUCUGGGAUAAGCCUGGGAAACUGGGUCUAAUACCGGAUAGGAGCGUCCACCGCAUGGUGGGUGUUGGAAAGAUUUAUCGGUUUUGGAUGGACUCGCGGCCUAUCAGCUUGUUGGUGAGGUAAUGGCUCACCAAGGCGACGACGGGUAGCCGGCCUGAGAGGGUGACCGGCCACACUGGGACUGAGACACGGCCCAGACUCCUACGGGAGGCAGCAGUGGGGAAUAUUGCACAAUGGGCGCAAGCCUGAUGCAGCGACGCCGCGUGAGGGAUGACGGCCUUCGGGUUGUAAACCUCUUUCAGUAGGGAAGAAGCGAAAGUGACGGUACCUGCAGAAGAAGCACCGGCUAACUACGUG